AUUCCAUGAUGGGGACAUUCUAGGAUGUAGUCUUGAAAGCGCUCCCAUGCCUCUGGAACAGAUUCAUCAUUUUGUUGCUGAAAACUUGUAAUCUUCCCACGGAGAGC
Sorghum bicolor (sorghum) is the source of this 107-nucleotide small nucleolar RNA. It matches the Rfam family "Plant small nucleolar RNA R71". From Rfam's summary of the family: R71 is a member of the C/D box family of snoRNAs containing the C (UGAUGA) and D (CUGA) box motifs. Multiple nearly identical copies of this snoRNA have been identified in Arabidopsis, and it is thought to function as a 2'-O-ribose methylation guide for 18S ribosomal RNA. Lineage: Eukaryota; Viridiplantae; Streptophyta; Magnoliopsida; Poales; Poaceae. The record is from Rfam.